Syngnathus acus (greater pipefish) is the source of this 661-nucleotide long non-coding RNA. RefSeq lists it as uncharacterized. The record is from RefSeq and is a predicted model, not a curated record. The transcript is spliced from 2 exons. NCBI's taxonomy places the organism in Eukaryota, Metazoa, Chordata, Actinopteri, Syngnathiformes, Syngnathidae.
UCUUUUUUUUUUUGGAAGGGGGGUGAUGGGAAUGAUGUGGGUCCUGCCACUGCCUGGCACCCAGUUCAGGAUGUGCCCCCAGCUGGAAUAGGCUAGCCGCGACCCUCGUGAGGAUAAGCACUUCAGGACAAUGGAUGGAUUUCAUGACGUGGAAAGCAAUAGAACGUAACCUCUCUCCUUGUUGCACGAGUCGUAGUGCCAGUUGCCGUUGCCAGUGAGGAAGGACAGACAAUUUCCAUCGGGGGUACCUGGGGGGCGGGAGAGAAGAUCUCAGUGCUCCUCCGUUCCUCCAAAUUGCAGCAGACAACCGUCUCCGACAGACCUGAAGUCGAGUGGACGUAAGUGAACGAGGCUCCGUCAGCCCACGUGCUGCCUUCGUCACUGAUGGCGACAUUGGCGCCCAACCACAGAGAGGAUGCGUUCGUCAGACCCUUGAUGUAACCUGUACCAGAAUGAACGACAUCAUCAAGAGGAGCCGAGUGAGGAGGACGCGUCAUCCGUUGAGCUCCGGGUGAUCGACUUUCUCAGCUCAAAAGGAAUUGAGUUAGACAGGGGGACCAUCGAGAAAUAUUAAAACCAAAGCAGCAAUAACAGUGCGGUUUGCAAACACAAAUUGGAGCUACUGAAACAGGGUAGACGGCUGAGGGGAUCAGACCUCAAC